CCUACGUUACCCACAAUGCAACGCGGCAUCUAACCGUCGACGGUUGGAGAUUCCGUUGGUUUGUUCUGCUGCUAGCGGCUAGUUUUGCCUGGAAGAGCUGUCCCUGGAUAGAAAUGAUUUGGUUAAAGAUUGUCUGUUGAAAGAAAGACUUCCCAAUACUGGAAAUAGGACCACCCAAGGAGCACGUGAAUGCAGGGGAGGCCAGGUCAUCCAGAGGACAGGCAUGUGAAACAUUCCUGCAGCCUGCUGCUGCUGCUGGACCUCCCUCCCAGUUCAGUCUUCCCCUGUCCUCCUUUUCUCCUCCUUCAUCCAUCCUCCCCCGGCUCCAAAUCGUCCUCUUCUUCCCUCUGUCCCAUUUACUAUAAUCUUUUUUGGCAGGGGGUUGGAAUAUACUCAGUCUUUCAGAUUAAACAAGACUAGGAGUCUGCGGCCAUGCAACCAAGUCUGUAAGGCUUUACUGAGGCACAGCUGUGAUCUGAAAUACACUAAUGCCAACAUGCUAAAAUGAUUGUGCCAUCCAAAACUGUCAGAUCAGAAUCAUCAGCUUGAUUGGCCAAGUAUGUGUUUACAAAGAAAGAAUUUGACUCUUGUUAACUUUGACUCAAUGUACAGGAAAUAGUAUGAUACACAUUAAAUCUAAAUAAAUAAAUUAAUAAAAAUCAAAUGUAUCUGAUUAUCCCUCUCACCUCCAACAAAGUGCAGCACAAGACUGCUUUUCUAAUCUUUUCUGCUGGAAGCUUCUGGAAUUGUCUGCCAUGCAAUGGAUGUGACAUCAUCCAAUAUCCAUCAUCCUUAUUUGUAAACUGACCUAUCUUUGCUUUGAGCUGAAUCCUAACAUUAGCAUUACAGUAAGCAUGCAUGAAGUAACUAUGAAAUGUUAUUAUUCUUACAUUCAUGUGUAAUAUUUAUAUAAAAGCCUGUUAAUGUUAGCAUGUUAGAUCUUGAAAUAAAUACUUUGA
Acanthopagrus latus (yellowfin seabream) is the source of this 959-nucleotide long non-coding RNA. RefSeq lists it as uncharacterized. The transcript is spliced from 3 exons. The record is from RefSeq and is a predicted model, not a curated record. NCBI's taxonomy places the organism in Eukaryota, Metazoa, Chordata, Actinopteri, Spariformes, Sparidae.